Molecule: ribosomal RNA, 253 nt
Filed under: uncultured bacterium
Lineage: Bacteria
Description: partial 16S ribosomal RNA
Rfam family: Bacterial small subunit ribosomal RNA
Source: RNAcentral
UACGGAGGGGGCAAGCGUUGUUCGGAAUUAUUGGGCGUAAAGCGUAUGUAGGCGGCUAAGCAAGUCAGGCGUGCAAGCCCGUGGCUCAACCACGGAAUUGCGUUUGAAACUGCUUAGCUUGAGUACAGGAGAGGAAAGCGGAAUUCCCAGUGUAGCGGUGAAAUGCAUUGAUAUUGGGAAGAACAUCUGUGGCGAAGGCGAGCUACUGGACAUUUACUGACGCUGAGGCACGAAGGCCAGGGUAGCGAAAGGG